Molecule: long non-coding RNA, 1181 nt
Organism: Alexandromys fortis (reed vole)
Lineage: Eukaryota; Metazoa; Chordata; Mammalia; Rodentia; Cricetidae
Exons: 3
Source: RefSeq, a predicted model, not a curated record
GCCCGCGCCCCCGCUGCUCCAAAGCCGAGCCCGUCCGGAAAAGCAGUCUUUUCUUCGUCUGGGAGGUUUUCUCAUCCUCAGUUCCCACCGCUGAGGCUGGUGGCUACCAACUCUAGGAGAAAGUCUCCUGGAGGAGAGGCAGGGGGGGGGCGCGGAGGACGGGAAGGCGACCCGGAGGGGUAGGAAGUAAACGCUGGACUCGACCGUCCUUCUUUUUUCGGCCUUUCAGUGCGGACCUGACGCAGCGGGGGAGCUGUCAGUCACCACCGGGAUUUAGCAUUGAUCCAGUCAGCAGCUGAGGGGCCACCUCUCACCUCCCGCGGCUACUUGUCUCUGGCUAGAAGCUGGAACAAUAGUUGGUUUUUGUUGUUCUCUUGUUUUUUGUGUGUUUUUGUUUUUGUUUUCCGUCAGAGCCAGACUGCAAUUAGCAUCUUAUUUGUUCAGGCUCGAAACAGUUUUUGUCAGGACCACUGUGCGGGCUACCGAGGUCAGGCUUCCUGCACUGCUCUCUGCACGGCGACGGGGCAAUAGUGCGGGUUCUAAACUUUUGAUUCGUUCUGCUUUCUUAAUGCAUUUAUUCCUUGUCAAGUUUCCCCUCCUCGUAGCAAGUUUGGACGUCUGAAGAAGUAUCUGAUAGGUUUCAGAAGCAGGCUGCAACUGGUCAUUCGCCUUCUAGUUUUGUCUCUACUUGUAGACGCGGCUGGUGGUUUGCAAAACAAGUGUUUGGAUAGUGUGGUGAUGUGGUGGGAGGAGACAAGAUGGACUAUGCUUUUGAGCCGCGAGCCUUCCUAAGGGGGGUCACAAUCAAGAAUAACAAGUGGAACUAUGUGAGGAGAAGCUGGCCUCCAGGCCCCGACAACACCAUCCAAGGCAGCCCAAGAAGACAUCAUAUUGUUUCCUGCCUGCAUGGAGUUCCAUGGGAAAGCUUUGCUGUCGUUGACUCAACAAUAAAAAGGAAGACAGUGUGCACCCUGGGCUCUGUGUCCUGAGAUGAUUAUUACCAGAUUUUACUACUUACUUCACAUGUGUCCCUAUGUUUAUCUUUCUAUAUAUUUCACAUUAUAUAUGUAUGUCUGUUAUACAUGCAUAUGUUUUUAUAUGCAUAUGUUAUUCCCUAGUCUAUCUGUACAAAUAUGUAUAUUUGGUAUAUACACAUGUGUCUCACUUUGGCAUGUUUGGAA